GACGAACGCUGGCGGCGUGCUUAACACAUGCAAGUCGAACGAAGAGCGAUGGAAGCUUGCUUCUAUCAAUCUUAGUGGCGAACGGGUGAGUAACGCGUAAUCAACCUGCCCUUCAGAGGGGGACACCAGUAGGAAACGACUGCUAAUACUGCAUACGAUUUAAUCUCGGCAUCGAGGAUAGAUGAAAGGUGGCCUCUACAUGUAAGCCAUCAUUGAAGGUGGGGGGUGCGUCUGUUGAGUACGUUGGCGCGGGAACGGCCCACCAAGGUGAUGAUCAGUAGCCGGUCUGCUAUGAUGGACAGCCAGACUGGGAGUGUGACACGGCACAGACUCCUAGAGGUGGCAGCAGUGGGGAUUCGUCCGCCAUGGGCGAAGGACUGACCGAGCAACGCCGAGUGCGUGAUGACGACCGUCGGGUUGUAAAGCUCUGUUAACCGGGACGAAAGGCCUUCUUGCUAAUACUAAGAAGGAUUGACGGUACCGGAAUAGAAAGCCACGGCUAACUACGUG
This 510-nucleotide ribosomal RNA is filed under the name uncultured bacterium. Its description in RNAcentral is "partial 16S ribosomal RNA". It matches the Rfam family "Bacterial small subunit ribosomal RNA", at positions 28 to 507 of the family's 1533-position model. The record is from RNAcentral.